RNAcentral lists this ribosomal RNA (872 nucleotides) under Ctenophora environmental sample. RNAcentral's name for it is "partial Bacterial large subunit ribosomal RNA". It matches the Rfam family "Bacterial large subunit ribosomal RNA", at positions 1 to 833 of the family's 2925-position model. The record is from RNAcentral. Lineage: Eukaryota; Metazoa; Ctenophora.
AAGUAAGCAAGAGCGUAUGAAGGAUGCCUAGGCUCUUAGAGGCGAAGAAGGACGUAAUAAGCUGCGAUAAGCUGCGGGGAUUGGCUAAUACGAAUCAAUCCGCAGAUCUCCGAAUGGGGCAACCCACUCUGAUGAAGUCAGAGUAUUUUUACUUUUUUACAGAGUAAAGAAGCAAACCUGGGGAACUGAAACAACUAAGUACCCAGAGGAAGAGAAAACAAUAGUGAUUCCGUGAGUAGUGGCGAGCGAAAGCGGAGGAUGGCUAAACCGUGCGCAUGUGAUACCCGGCGGGGGUUGUGUGUGCGGUGUUGUGGGGUUUGUGUUCUCUGGUCCGCCGAUCAGGGCGUCAGUAGUGGUGUGUUAGCCGAAGUGGCCUGGGAUGGUCUGCCGUAGACGGUGAGAGCCCGGUAGGUGAAAACAUGUCAUCUGGUGUCACAGAUACCCGAGUAGCAGCGGGCCCGUGGAAUCUGCUGUGAAUCUGCCGAGACCACUCGGUAAGCCUGAAUACUUCCUGAUGACCGAUAGCGGAUUAGUACCGUGAGGGAAUGGUGAAAAGUACCCCGGGAGGGGAGUGAAAGAGUACCUGAAACCGUGUGCCUACAAGCCGUCAGAGCCUUCGACUUUGUUGUGGGGUGAUGGCGUGCCUUUUGAAGAAUGAGCCUGCGAGUUAGUGAUGCGUGGCGAGGUUAACCCGUGGUGGGGGAGUCGUAGCGAAAGCGAGUCCGAUAAGGGCGUGAGUCGCGUGUUCUAGACCCGAAGCGGGGUGAUCUACCCAUGGCCAGGUUGAAGCACGUGUAAGAGCGUGUGGAGGACCGAACCCACCUAGGUUGAAAACUGGGGGGAUGAGCUGUGGGUAGGGGUGAAAGGCCAAU